RNAcentral lists this ribosomal RNA (462 nucleotides) under uncultured bacterium. Its description in RNAcentral is "partial 16S ribosomal RNA". It matches the Rfam family "Bacterial small subunit ribosomal RNA", at positions 28 to 507 of the family's 1533-position model. The record is from RNAcentral.
GAUGAACGCUGACAGAAUGCUUAACACAUGCAAGUCAUUGGCGAAGCUGCGCUUGCGCAGUCUAGCCAAGGCGGACGGGUGAGUAACGCGUAAGGAACUUGCCCUGCAGACAGGGAUAACAGACGGAAACGACUGAUAACACCUGGUAUUGUCAGGCUGGCGCAUGCCGGCCUGAUGAAAGGAGACGCUGCAGGAGAGCCUUGCGUCCUAUUAGCUAGUUGGUGGGGUAACGGCCCACCAAGGCGAUGAUAGGUAGCCGGCCUGAGAGGGUGAACGGCCACAAGGGGACUGAGAUACGGCCCUUACUACUACGGGAGGCAGCAGUGGGGAAUAUUGGACAAUGGGGGCAACACUGAUCCAGCAAUUCUGUGUGCACGAAGAAGGUUUUCGGAUUGUAAAGUGCUUUCAGCAGGGAAGAAGAAAGUGACGGUACCUGCAGAAGAAGCGACGGCUAAAUACGUG